RNAcentral lists this ribosomal RNA (479 nucleotides) under uncultured bacterium. RNAcentral's name for it is "partial 16S ribosomal RNA". It matches the Rfam family "Bacterial small subunit ribosomal RNA", at positions 29 to 507 of the family's 1533-position model. The record is from RNAcentral.
AUGAACGCUAGCGGCAGGCCUAACACCUGCCAGUCGAGGGGGAAGUUACUUUCGGGUGACUGAGACCGGCGUACGGGUGCGUAACGCGUAUACAAUCUGCCUUUCACUGGGGGAUAGCCCGAAGAAAUUUGGAUUAAUACCCCAUAGUAUAUAGGGACGGCAUCGUUUUUAUAUUAAAGCUUAGGUGGUGAAAGAUGAGUAUGCGUUCUAUUAGCUAGUUGGAGAGGUAACGGCUCCCCAAGGCGAUGAUAGAUAGGGGUUCUGAGAGGGAUGUCCCCCACACUGGUACUGAGAUACGGACCAGACUCCUACGGGAGGCAGCAGUGAGGAAUAUUGGACAAUGGUCGGAAGACUGAUCCAGCCAUGCCGCGUGCAGGAUGAAGGUCUUAUGGAUUGUAAACUGCUUUUGUAAGGGAAGAAUAAGGGCUACGCGUAGUUUGAUGACGGUACCUUACGAAUAAGCAUCGGCUAACUCCGUG